AAACCCUCAGUGCAGCGCUUGUGUCAGGCGCAAUCUCGCAAGAUCCGGUGAGGCGCUACGUCGUGCUCCACUCGGUCCCAAAAGUACCUGCAAGCGCUACACACUUGCGCUCGGCGCCCUUGCUCUGUUCUCACUUUCCGAGAUAUCCACGCAUCUUGAGUCCUGCAUCCACUCCCGGGAGGCGGCUGCGGCAAGCGCGUGAUGGAAGAAGAGCGUGAUAGCCAGCUAGACAGGUGGCCAGAGCGGAGCGGUGGGUGAGAUGCGGGCUAAGGAGAGGGCAGAUGCCUAAAGUGCCUGCGGGACGGUGGAGAGGUGCCCGAAGUCCUUGUUGGGGUGGUGGAGAGGUGGCUGAAAUUCUUGCGGGAUAGUGGGGCGAUGGCUAAGUGCUUGCAGGACAGUGGGGCGAUGGCUAAGUGCUUGCGGGACAGGGGAGAGGUGGCUAAGUGCUUGCGGGACAGUGGGACAGUGGCAAAGUGCUUUCAGGACAGUGGAGCGAUGGCUACGUGCUUGCGGGACAGCGGAAGAGAUGGUUAAAGUGAUUGCCAAGCAGCAGAAAGAUUCCUAAAAUGCUUGCCAGCUAUGCGGAGAUGAAGGUAAAAUGCCUGCGUAGUCCCGAACCGAUAGUUAAAAUGCCUGCCGCAUAACGGAGGAAUAACUAAAAUGUCUGCUGGGUCCUGGAGCCAAAAUUUAAAAUGUCUGUCCCUUACAGGUGGUUAGACUACCGGUCAGGGACCUGGAAAGAUAGCUAACAUACAUGCCACGUUCCCGGACUAAUGGCUCAAAUGGAUGCCUGGGACUGGGAGACUUUACUAAAAUGCCUACCACCGGGGACCUGGGCUAUCACUAAAAUGCCUGCCACCGGGUACUGGGAGGUCACUAAAAUGUCUGCCACGGGGUACUUGGGCUAUCACUAAAAUGCCUGCCACCGGGUAUCUGGGCUAUCACUAAAAUGCCUGCCACCGGGGACCUGGGAGGUCACUAAAAUGCCUGCCACCGGGGACCUGGUAGGUCACUAAAAUGCCUGCCACCGGGGAUCUGGGAGGUCACUAAAAUGCCUGCCGUCGAGGAUCUGGGCUAUCACUAAAAUGCCUGCCACCGGGGAUCUGGGAGGUCGCUAAAAUGCCUGCCACCGCUUACUGGGAGGUCACUAAAAUGUCUGCCACGGGGGACUUGGGCUAUCACUAAAAUGCCUGCCACCGGGGACCUGGUAGGUCACUAAAAUGCCUGCCACCGGGGAUCUGGGAGGUCACUAAAAUGCCUGCCGUCGAGGAUCUGGGCUAUCACUAAAAUGCCUGCCACCGGGGAUCUGGGAGGUCGCUAAAAUGCCUGCCACCGCUUACUGGGAGGUCACUAAAAUGUCUGCCACGGGGGACUUGGGCUAUCACUAAAAUGCCUGCCACCAGGGAUCUGGGAGGUCACUAAAAUGCCUGCCACCGGGGAUCUGGGCUAUCACUAAAAUGUCUGCCACUGGGGAUCUGGAAGAUCGCUAAAAUGCCUGCCACCGGGGACCUGGGCUAUCACUAAAAUGCCUGCCACCGGGGACCUGGGCUAUCACUAAAAUGUCUGCCACUGGGGAUCUGGAAGAUCGCUAAAAUGCCUGCCACCGGGGACCUGGGCUAUCACUAAAAUGCCUGCCACCGGGGACCUGGGCUAUCACUAAAAUGUCUGCCACUGGGGAUCUGGAAGAUCGCUAAAAUGCCUGCCACCGGGGACCUGGGCUAUCGCUAAAAUGCCUGCCACCGGGGACCUGGGCUAUCACUAAAAUGCCUGCCGCCGCCAGGGACCUGGGGAGAUCGCUAAAAUCCCUGCCUUAUAACCAACCCCUAGAGGUCGACUAAAAUGUCUGCUGGGCAGAGCAGAGGUGAUGAAAAUGUCUGGGAUAGCGUAGAGAUGGUUGGCUAAAAUGUUACAGGUAGAUAUGCAAAGCGUUCAAUAAGCCUGGCGUGGGUAAUAAACUGCAGUCUAGAGCGGAAAAGAAAGUUAAGGGCGUGACUUGUAGCAGGGUCUAGAAUCCACACACUCACAUCAGGGAAAGCCUCGUGUCCGAAAAACUCUUUGGAAUAGUCUUAAUAUUUUAAUAUUGCUCAAGCCAAAUUCAGCAAUACUACCUCACCGCACGUGUCUUUUUCAGGUGAGGUUUCAAUGAUUUACAUCGACCAAGAACCCGCAGCCUCGGUCUCUCGAAUCGGAUCCGACAUCAUCCAACACUUCAGUGUUAGAAUUGCAAGCAUGCGCUCUCCCGACCUGGGCAGGCACUUCGAAAAAAUGAUGACUAAAGACACACGUGAAGUACCAAGCGAAACUCACGUCCUUAUGGGACAGUGACUCAUCACAGUCUAAUUCCAUCCUGGCCACCAAGCAAUAAUGCACAUUUCUAACUGGAAGUCAAGCAAACACCAACACUUUCACACUUGUGCCCAUUUCUGACGAGUUACGUCAAGUGGCAACCAACACUUCCACUUAGCCUUGCCUCAGCUUCGAGUGGCACAAGGUAGGACCAACCACACCCUACCAUAAUGCACCAAGUGUACCCUCGGGCAAAGCCCGCCAAGUAGCUAAAGCCCGCCAAAAAAAAAAUCACUGAAAGAAACCACUAGAGGGCAGGUCACAUGACUUCCGCCAUCUUAGACACAUUCAAGAGCAUGUGCCACCUCUCCAGGCUAACUCAGACAUGAAGCUGACAUGUGACACACAAAGCCCUUUGCGUUAUACCGCACCAAGAACUUGAGCCGCCAUCUUUUCCUGUACGACCUAAAUGUCCUAUAAUCCAUUGCUACACACCAGAACAAAGAUUGGGCUGUCGAGCCUCGGGUGGAGCCCCCGAGCCGCCAUUUUAUAGACUUCUGAGCAGCCCUUAAAGCCACGGGGGACCGCGCCAGGGGUCCAUAUGCACACACACCCUGCCCAAUCCCCACACCCACGCUGAGCCCUAUCCCCUAGUCCUCUGCGGCUUCCGCGCAACACCGCACACUAAUACGAGCACUCCUUGGCUUUCUACUUCCGGCUAGCACAACCCCGCAAAUGCUACCACAAAUCAAGGCGAAUCCCGCAACCCCGCACAUAUAAAGAAAGCCUUUAGCUAGCGCAGCGCAAUUGGUUGCUUUUAUCCAGUCCGCUGUGCUCCUCGGUGUCCUAAUUCUUGGCGUAACUGGCUCGAGAAUAGCCGUAUCACGCAGAAGCCAUAAUGGCGGACGCGGGCUCUCCACGCCCUGAACACCCACUCAGUUUAAGAGCAAAGUCGUUUUUCUAAGCCAUAGGUUCAC
RNAcentral lists this long non-coding RNA (3263 nucleotides) under Mus musculus (house mouse). Its description in RNAcentral is "X (inactive)-specific transcript, opposite strand". The record is from RNAcentral. Lineage: Eukaryota; Metazoa; Chordata; Mammalia; Rodentia; Muridae.